RNAcentral lists this unclassified non-coding RNA (391 nucleotides) under soil metagenome. Its description in RNAcentral is "partial contains 5.8S ribosomal RNA, internal transcribed spacer 2, and large subunit ribosomal RNA". The stretch from base 1 to 121 matches the Rfam family "5.8S ribosomal RNA", at positions 35 to 154 of the family's 154-position model. The record is from RNAcentral.
GAUGAAGAACGCAGCGAAGUGCGAUAAGUAGUGUGAAUUGCAGAAUUUCGUGAAUCAUCGAAUCUUUGAACGCAAAUUGCACUCUCCGGUUUUCCGGGAGAGUAUGCCUGUUUGAGGGUCAGCCUAAAUAAAUUCGGCUUCGUUGCUGUGUUUCGCGGUAACGUUUUGUCGGUAUUUGGGUCAUCUUAAACCGAAAUUCGGUCUUAAGCGACUUAAAAAUUUUUUUUUACGAUCCCACGAACGUUUCUAAGAUCUUCCUACACGUUCAAGGUGUCGAAUACCCUAUUAGUCGUGACCGUCGUAUCGGAUCGCGUCCAUAAUAUUUAUUCUUUAACUGACCUCAGACAGGUAAGAGUACCCGCUGAACUUAAGCAUAUCAAUAAGCGGAGGA